UGGCAAACUGUCCAAAAUAACUUCCUAGAAAUUCUGAGCAAAUUGGACUGCUUUAAUUUUACAAUACCUAUUAAAAAUACAAGAACAAGAAAAAGCGAUUAAAAUUACCUUCCUUCAAGUAUGCCUGGGUCUUGGAUAAACUGAAAGAUGAGCUUGAAUAUUGUAUCACCAUUGAUAUCUCCCUGUGGAAAUCUGAGACCAGCAAGACUACACGACUGUCAUUGAUGCCCCAGGACACAGAGACGUCAUCAAAAACAUGAUUACAGGGACAUCUCAGGCUGACUGUGCUGUCCUGAUUGUUGCUGCUGGUGUUGGUGAAUUUGAGGCUGGUAUCUCCAAGAAUGGGCAAACCUGAGAGCAUGCCCUUCUGGCUUGUAUACUGGGUGUGAAACAACUAAUUGUUGGUGUUAACAAAAUGGAUUCCACUGAGCCAUCCUACAGCCAGAAGAGAUAUGAAGAAAUCAUUAAGGAAGUCAGCACUUACAUUAAGAACAUUGGCCAGAACCUGACACAGUAGCAUUUGUGCCAAUUUCUGGUGAGAAUGGUGACAACAUGAUGGAGCCAAGUGCUAACAUGCCUCGGUUCAAGGGAUGGAAAAUCACCCAUGAGGAUGGCAAUGCCUGUGGAGCCAUGCUGCUUGAGGCUCUGGACUGCAUCCUACCACCAACUCAUCCGACUGACAAGCCCUUGCGCCUGCCUCUCCAGGAUGUCUACAAAAUUGAUGGUAUUGGUACUGUUCCUGUUGGCCGAGUGGAGACUGGUGUUCUCAAAAACGGUAUGGCAGUCACCUUUGCUCCGGUCAAUGCCAUAAUUGAAGUAAAGCCUGUUGAAAUGCACCAUGAAGUUUUGAGUGAAGCUCUUCCUGGGGACAAUGUGGACUUCAAUGUCAAGAAUGUGUCUGCCAAGGAGGUUCGUCAUGGCAACGUUGCUGGUGACAGCAAAAACGACCCAACAAUGGAAGCAGCUGGCUUCACUGCUCAGGUGAUUAUCCUGAACCAUCCAGAUCAAAUCAGUGCUGGCUAUGCUCCUGUACUGGAUUGCCACAUGGCUCACAUUGCAUGCAAGUUUGCUGAGCUGAAGGAAAAGACUGGUAGCACUUCUGGUAAAAAGUUGGAAGAUGGCCCUACUUUCUUGAAGUCUGGUGAUGCUGCCAUCAUUGAUAUGGUUCCUGGCAAGCCCAUGUGUGUUGAGAGCUUCUCAGUCUACCCAUCUCUGGGUCGCUUUGCUGUUUGUGAUAUGAGACAGACAGUUGCUGUGGGUGUCAUCAAAGCAAUGGAUAAGAAGGCUGCUGGAGCUGGCAAGGCCACCAAGUCUGCCCAGAAAGCUCAGAAGGCUAAAUGAAUAUUAUCCAUAAUACCUGUCACCCAAGUCUUAAUCAGUGGUGGAAAACAGUCUCAGAACUGUUUGUUUCAAUUGGCCGUUUAAGUUUAAUAGUAAAUGACUGGUUAAUGAUAACAACGCGUCAUAAAAUCUUCAGAAGGAAAGGAGAAUGUUUUGUGGACCACUUUGGUUU
Nomascus leucogenys (northern white-cheeked gibbon) is the source of this 1513-nucleotide RNA transcript. It is a transcript of the gene named putative elongation factor 1-alpha-like 3, with no coding region annotated. The record is from RefSeq and is a predicted model, not a curated record. The transcript has a single exon. Lineage: Eukaryota; Metazoa; Chordata; Mammalia; Primates; Hylobatidae.